UUGAACGCUGGCGGCAUGCCUUACCCAUGCCAGUCGAACGGCAGCGCGGACUUCGGUCUGGCGGCGAGUGGCGAACGGGUGAGUAAUACAUCGGAACGUACCCUGUUGUGGGGGAUAACUAGUCGAAAGAUUAGCUAAUACCGCAUACGACCUGAGGGUGAAAGUGGGGGACCGCAAGGCCUCACGCAGCAGGAGCGGCCGAUGUCUGAUUAGCUAGUUGGUGGGGUAAAGGCCCACCAAGGCGACGAUCAGUAGCUAGUCUGAGAGGACGAUCAGCCACACUGGGACUGAGACACGGCCCAGACUCCUACGGGAGGCAGCAGUGGGGAAUUUUGGACAAUGGGGGCAACCCUGAUCCAGCAAUGCCGCGUGUGUGAAGAAGGCCUUCGGGUUGUAAAGCACUUUUGUCCGGAAAGAAAUCGCGCUGGUUAAUACCUGGCGUGGAUGACGGUACCGGAAGAAUAAGCACCGGCUAACUACGUG
RNAcentral lists this ribosomal RNA (483 nucleotides) under uncultured bacterium. RNAcentral's name for it is "partial 16S ribosomal RNA". It matches the Rfam family "Bacterial small subunit ribosomal RNA", at positions 30 to 507 of the family's 1533-position model. The record is from RNAcentral.